Molecule: ribosomal RNA, 340 nt
Filed under: uncultured actinomycete
Lineage: Bacteria; Bacillati; Actinomycetota; Actinomycetes; Actinomycetales
Description: bacterial SSU rRNA
Rfam family: Bacterial small subunit ribosomal RNA
Source: RNAcentral
GGUGCAUGGCUGUCGUCAGCUCGUGUCGUGAGGUGUUGGCGUUAAGUCCCGCAACGAGCGCAACCCUUGUCCUUAUGUUGCCAGCGGGUAAUGCCGGGAACUCAUAGGAGACUGCCGGUGUCAACUCGGAGGAAGGUGGGGAUGACGUCAAGUCAUCAUGCCCCUUAUGUCCAGGGCUUCACGCAUGCUACAAUGCCCGGUACAAAGGGCUGCGAUCCCGCAAGGGGGAGCGAAUCCCAAAAAGCCGGUCUCAGUUCGGAUGGGGGUCUGCAACUCGACCCCAUGAAGUCGGAGUCGUUAGUAAUCGCAGAUCUGCAACGCUGCGGUGAAUACGUUCCCG